AACGACUCUCGGCAACGGAUAUCUCGGCUCUCGCAUCGAUGAAGAACGUAGCGAAAUGCGAUACUUGGUGUGAAUUGCAGAAUCCCGUGAACCAUCGAGUCUUUGAACGCAAGUUGCGCCCGAAGCCUUCUGGCCGAGGGCACGCCUGCCUGGGCGUCACGC
RNAcentral lists this ribosomal RNA (162 nucleotides) under Blitum virgatum. RNAcentral describes it as "5.8S ribosomal RNA". It matches the Rfam family "5.8S ribosomal RNA". From Rfam's summary of the family: 5.8S ribosomal RNA (5.8S rRNA) is a component of the large subunit of the eukaryotic ribosome. Lineage: Eukaryota; Viridiplantae; Streptophyta; Magnoliopsida; Caryophyllales; Amaranthaceae. The record is from RNAcentral. RNAcentral also lists the same sequence under 2 other names.